GAGCAAGAAUUUGUCUUUUGUCAGCACUUGUUGCGAGGAGCUUCUUUGCAGAUCAUUCUCUGGAUAGAGUCACAAGUGAUGGAUGUGUUGAAGAUGGUGGCUGAAUUUUCAAUUCCAAUGUUGCUAGUGUGCAGGUGUUAGCUUGGAAGUUCUUUCACCAACGUCGAGAAUGUUUGGUUUUUCAAGGAGAUUUGUCAUACUUUUGACAAUUGGCAUGUUUGCCUGUCCCACCUGUUCUUUAGGAUAGAUAUAUAGAUUUGCAUAUUCAUGUAAAUUCGUGGUGACAUGACAUGAGUCAACACUUUUUGAGUGUUCAUCUUGUAUGCAUGUAUUUUGCUUUGCAUGUGUUAAUCAAAAGAUCAUAAGCAUACAGGUGUAAGACAGAUAUGCAUAGGAUGACAUUAACAUGAGGGCAUUAUCCACAGAUAAUCAAUUGUUUGAUGCAUGAUGAGUGCAUAUGAUAUGUAGAAUGGAAGCAUAGUAUAUAACUAAUUGUUUCAGUUAAAUAUUUCAUAGAGGAUUUUAUAAACCAAG
RNAcentral lists this long non-coding RNA (534 nucleotides) under Zostera marina. Its description in RNAcentral is "long non-coding RNA (ZMAR_LNC000116)". The record is from RNAcentral. Lineage: Eukaryota; Viridiplantae; Streptophyta; Magnoliopsida; Alismatales; Zosteraceae.